This 424-nucleotide ribosomal RNA is filed under the name uncultured bacterium. Its description in RNAcentral is "partial 16S ribosomal RNA". It matches the Rfam family "Bacterial small subunit ribosomal RNA", at positions 359 to 774 of the family's 1533-position model. The record is from RNAcentral.
GAAUAUUGGACAAUGGGGGGAACCCUGAUCCAGCCAUGCCGCGUGUGUGAAGAAGGCCUUUUGGUUGUAAAGCACUUUAAGCGAGGAGGAGGCUACUCUAGUUAAUACCUAGGGAUCGUGGACGUUCCUCGCAGAAUCAGCAACGGCCCACUCUGUGCCAGCAGCCGCGGUAAUACAGAGGGUGAUAGCGGUAAUGGGAUUUACUGGGCGUAAAGCGCGCGGAAGUGGACAAUUAAGUAAAAUGUGAAAUCCCCGAGCUUAACGUGGGAAUUGCAGGCGAUACUGGUUGGCUAGAGUAUGGGAGAGGAUGGUAGAAUUCCAGGUGUAGCGGCGAAAUGCGUAGAGAUCUGGAGGAAUACCGAUGGCGGAGGCAGCCAUCUGGCCUAAUACUGACACUGACGUGCGAAAGCAUGGGGAGCAAACA